RNAcentral lists this ribosomal RNA (512 nucleotides) under uncultured bacterium. RNAcentral's name for it is "bacterial SSU rRNA". It matches the Rfam family "Bacterial small subunit ribosomal RNA", at positions 19 to 518 of the family's 1533-position model. The record is from RNAcentral.
AUGGCUCAGGAUGAACGCUAGCUACAGGCUUAACACAUGCAAGUCGAGGGGCAGCAUGAAACUUAGCUUGCUAAGUUCGAUGGCGACCGGCGCACGGUGAGUAACACGUAUCCAACCUACCGUUUACUACGGGAUAGCCUUCUAGAAAAGGAGAUUAAUACCGUAUGGCAUUCUAAAGUUUCAUGACAUUAGAAUUAAAGGUUUACCGGUAAUCGAUGGGGGAUGCGUUCCAUUAGAUAGUAGGCGGGGUAACGGCCCACCUAGUCAGCGAUGGAUAGGGGUUCUGAGAGGAAGGUCCCCCACAUUGGAACUGAGACACGGUCCAAACUCCUACGGGAGGCAGCAGUGAGGAAUAUUGGUCAAUGGGCGAGAGCCUGAACCAGCCAAGUAGCGUGAAGGAUGACUGCCCUAUGGGUUGUAAACUUCUUUUAUAAAGGAAUAAAGUGGUCCACGUGUGGAUUUUUGUAUGUACUUUAUGAAUAAGGAUCGGCUAACUCCGUGCCAGCAGCGGC